RNAcentral lists this ribosomal RNA (253 nucleotides) under uncultured bacterium. RNAcentral describes it as "partial 16S ribosomal RNA". It matches the Rfam family "Bacterial small subunit ribosomal RNA", at positions 524 to 776 of the family's 1533-position model. The record is from RNAcentral.
UACGUAGGGGGCUAGCGUUGUCCGGAUUUAUUGGGCGUAAAGGGCGCGUAGGCGGCCUGGCAAGUCAAAGGUGAAAUCCCUCGGCUCAACUGAGGAACUGCCUUUGAAACUGCCAGGCUUGAGGCCGGGAGGGGGUAGCGGAAUUCCCAGUGUAGCGGUGAAAUGCGUAGAUAUUGGGAGGAACACCAGUGGCGAAGGCGGCUACCUGGACCGGUUCUGACGCUGAUGCGCGAAAGCGUGGGUAGCAAACAGG